UUAUAAUUGAUUUUAAUAAUUUAUUUUUUUUUUUUUUUAGUAUUUUAAGAAAUAAUUUUUUUAUUUUUACUGUCAAGUAUUUUAUUCAAAAAGUUAAUAUAAUUAAUUAGUACCUUUUGUAUCAGGGUUGAUUUAAUUUAUUAUUUAUUUUUUUUUCCCGAAAAAUGGAUAUCUAUAUUAAGUUUUUUUUUAUUGUUGAAUUAAUAUUAAUAAUCUUAUUAUGGUAGUGAUAUUCUAUCCGUUCCUUUAUUAUAUCUGGUUAUUUAGGAUUUCAAUUUAAUUGAAAAUUAAUGUUUAUUAUUUUUUUUUUAUUUUUUAAUUUUAUAUAAUUUGGGAUAAUCUUUUUUAUUGUUUAAAAUUUUUAAUAUUAAAUUAUUUUUUAUUUUAAAAUCUUUUAUUUAGUUCUUAAUAGAUUAUAAUUUAUUUUUAUAAUUUUUUUUUAUUUAUAUUUUUACUAAAUUAUUUUAUUUAAUUUUUAUUUAUAUUUAUUAAUGAUUAAAUUAGUAUAAUUUUUUAUUAUAAUUUAAUUAACUCGACAAAUUUAAUCUUCAACUGUUUAUCAAAAACAUUUCUUUUAGGUUUAUAUUAAAGGUAAAUUCUGCCCUAUGAUUUAUAAUUAAAUGGCUGCAGUAUUUUGACUGUGCAAAGGUAGCAUAAUCAUUAGUCAUUUAAUUGUUGACUUGUAUGAAUGGAUAAAUGAGGGAUUUAUUUUUUUAAUUUUAUUAUUAAAAUUUUAUUUUUAAGUAAAAAAGCUUAAUUAGUUUUUAGGGACGAAAAGACCCUAUAGAACUUUAUUAUAUUUAACUUUUUAAAUUUUUAGUUAUAUUUUUAUUAGUAUUUUAUUUAUUUUUUUAUUGGGGUGAUAAAUAAAUUUUAACUUUAUUUUAGUUUUUCAUUAAUUUAUGAUUUUUUAGAUCCUUUUUUUGGAUUGUAAGUUUUAGUUACCUUAGGGAUAACAGCGUAAUUUUAAUGGGGAGUUCAUAUUUAUAUUAAAGUUUGCGACCUCGAUGUUGAAUUAAGAUAAGUAUAAGGGGUAGGUUUUUUAUUACUAAGUCUGUUCGACUUUUAAAUUCUUACAUGAUUUGAGUUCAAACCGGUGUGAGCCAGGUUGGUUUCUAUCUUAAAAUUAAUUUUCUUUAUAGUACGAAAGGACCUAGGGAAUCAAUAUUUUUUGUUUUUAUAGAAUUUUAUU
This 1192-nucleotide ribosomal RNA is filed under the name Atkinsoniella thaloidea. RNAcentral's name for it is "16S ribosomal RNA". The record is from RNAcentral. Lineage: Eukaryota; Metazoa; Arthropoda; Insecta; Hemiptera; Cicadellidae.